This 254-nucleotide ribosomal RNA is filed under the name uncultured bacterium. Its description in RNAcentral is "partial 16S ribosomal RNA". It matches the Rfam family "Bacterial small subunit ribosomal RNA", at positions 524 to 777 of the family's 1533-position model. The record is from RNAcentral.
UACGGAGGGAGCUAGCGUUGUUCGGAAUUACUGGGCGUAAAGCGCACGUAGGCGGCUUUCUAAGUCAGGGGUGAAAUCCUGGAGCUCAACUCCAGAACUGCCUUUGAUACUGGAGAGCUCGAGUCCGGAAGAGGUGAGUGGAACUCCGAGUGUAGAGGUGAAAUUCGUAGAUAUUCGGAAGAACACCAGUGGCGAAGGCGGCUCACUGGUCCGGUACUGACGCUGAUGUGCGAAAGCGUGGGGAGCAAACAGGU